UCUGGUCAAAGUUCUGUGAUACACUCAGACUGUGAAUGUUUGCUGGUCAGUGCAUAACAGAACUUUGUCCCGGC
Oryzias latipes (Japanese medaka) is the source of this 74-nucleotide non-coding RNA. NCBI's taxonomy places the organism in Eukaryota, Metazoa, Chordata, Actinopteri, Beloniformes, Adrianichthyidae. The record is from Rfam.